AGUAAUGUAUCGGAACGUGCCCAGUCGUGGGGGAUAACUGCUCGAAAGAGCAGCUAAUACCGCAUACGACCUGAGGGUGAAAGCGGGGGAUCGCAAGACCUCGCGCGAUUGGAGCGGCCGAUAUCAGAUUAGGUAGUUGGUGAGGUAAAGGCUCACCAAGCCGACGAUCUGUAGCUGGUCUGAGAGGACGACCAGCCACACUGGGACUGAGACACGGCCCAG
This 222-nucleotide ribosomal RNA is filed under the name uncultured bacterium. Its description in RNAcentral is "partial 16S ribosomal RNA". It matches the Rfam family "Bacterial small subunit ribosomal RNA", at positions 109 to 334 of the family's 1533-position model. The record is from RNAcentral.